AGCCAUGCUGGGCUCAUGUUAGGAGCAGCUCUGGAGUGAGAAAAUCUUUUAGCUAGAGGCUGCUUUGUGAAGAUGGAGCACUGCAUAGCCAGAGAGCCUCUUCACUAGUUGGGUUCACCAGCAACACUCAGAGCACUGCAAGAUUACUUUUUCACCCAAAAGCUUUCAUCUUUUGACAAAAAUGAAAUAAUCAUUAAGAGACGGCCUCAUCCAAAACCCAAGGAAGUCAAUGCACAGUCUGAAACUUUGGUGAAGUAUUCAUCACAUUCCAAGGCCCGGGUUCACAAAGGAUUUUAAGGUUCAGCUUGCCCUGAAGAACUGGGAAGAACUAAAAGUCUGGAUGUCUACAAAGAAGUCCUCUGCUCUAACUCCAGAAAGGCUCAUGCUGGAAGAUGCCUCUGGAGGUCAUCUAGUCCAAGCCCCUACUGAAGCAUCAGCAGCCACAGCGUGCUGUCCAGGACCAUGUGCAGACAAGUUUUGAAUAACUCCAAGAAUGGAGACUCCACAACAAUCUGGGUCACCUGUGCUAGUGCUCAGUCACCCUCGCAGCAAAAAAGCUUUUUCUUGUGUUUAGGUGGAAUUUCAUGUAUUUUAUUUUAUCCCAUUGCUGAGGGUACAUUCUGUCCUACCAUCCAAGUCUAUUAGAGAUUAAACACUGUUGGCCCCAGUACUGAACUCUGGGGUACACCACUAGUCACUGGCCUCAAGAUGGGUUUAAUACUGCUAAUCACAACCCUCUUGAGUCUGGCAGUUCAGGCAGUUUUCAGUCCACAUCACUGUCCCAUUAAUCUAGCCCAUACUUACAUGAGGUUUUUAUGAUAGAAUCAAAAGCCUUACUAAAGUAGAGGUAAAUAACAUCUACUGUUCUCUUUUCAUCCAUCCAGCUAGUCAUCUCAUUGUGGAAGUCUGCCAGGUUGGUCAGACAUAAUUUCCCUUUGAUCAAUCUGUGCUGACUUUUCCUGAUCACCUUUCUAUCUUUCAAGUGUCUGGAAAAUGUUCUCAGAACUAUUUGAUCUAUCACCUUCCCAGAGACUGAAGUGAAGCUGUCCUGCCUGUAGUUGCCUGGAUCCCAUUCCUUGCCCUUUUUGAAGAUAAGAGUUACAUGUGCUCUUCUCCUGUGGUCAAGAACCUUCUCUGGUCACUAUGACUUUUCACAGAUAAUCACGAGCAGCCUUGCAACAACACUGGCCAGCUCUUGGGUGCGUCCUAUCAGGGCCCAUGGACUUGCGUGUUUCUAAUUUGUUCAUAAGUUCCCAUCGAGGGAAAGUCUUUCUUGCUCCAGAACUUCCUGGUAAAGACUGAGGGGAAGAAGGCACUGAGCACCUUGGCAUUUUGCAUAUCCUUUGUUACCAUGGCCCUAUCCCAUGCAGCAACAGGCCACAUUUCCCUCAGUGGCUCCCAGCAGCUAGCAAGCCUGGUGCUACAGUCCAUCACGAUGUGCCAACAUGGUACUUCAUGUGGAUAUUUAGGUAUGCUAGCAAUUAACAUAAACAGGGCACAACAUCAACAGAGGCUUGGCUACAUCUUACCUUUCUGCACAACAGAAAUUCAAGCUGUGUAUUCAACAGUGUGCUGAGAGAUGCGGCAGCUGACUUAGAGAGUCUAGGUUUAAUGAAACUGUAUUUUCUCCUCUCUAACAGAUACCUUACCUUUCCCUUUGUCUGCCCUGUUGCUUGCCCUGAGCUCAGCUUGCUCUGAUGGGAGGUAUCCUCAGCCAGUCAGUCAUCCCCUCAGGCGGGGUGAGCUUCUGUUGCUCCGUUUUUGGCAAAAUCUGCAGCACAGAUUUCUAAAUGUCUUGUAUUUAUUUUAUUGCAUUUUUUUUUUGUGUCUGUGCAUGAAACCUUAUGUCUGAUGGGUAAACACUGGGUAAACAUUUUUCAGAGAGACUUCUUAUUUUUUAAUAAACAGAGUAAUUUUCUCAAAUAGCUUCUUUCUUACUCCGCUUCAUAAUAUCCUGUGGAAAUAGAUGGUCUGUUUCAACA
Long non-coding RNA from Numida meleagris (helmeted guineafowl), 1982 nucleotides. RefSeq lists it as uncharacterized. Lineage: Eukaryota; Metazoa; Chordata; Aves; Galliformes; Numididae. The transcript has 4 exons. The record is from RefSeq and is a predicted model, not a curated record.